UAUAACUGAGCACUUUUCCAGCCCUCUCAGAGCAUCAGCGUUCACAGCCGUCCGAUCGUCAAUUUCAAGCAUUUUCAGCCGUCAGAUUAGGUGGGAAUCGCACGUAAUCUCGGUUCUUUUGCUAAUACCGAUCGCACACCGUGUGGGCCGCUGCUCCGUCAGCAUUUUUGGACGUUCCGCAUUAAAUUGGGCCCAAUGGGCCAACUCUCCUCUCCCCACCCGAACCGGAUCGAGACGUCGUCUCGCACAACCCCCUCCUCUCCCCGACCUCUGUGCUCUUUCUCCCAAUCUAGGCAGCUGGGCGUAUCCUUCCCAGCAGCGCCGCCGACCACGACAUCGACCUCGACCAGCGGCCCCCUCGCUCUUUCUCGAUCUCUAGUGCCAGCGCGCAUAGCGAAACGACAUCACACUCUCUGUUGAUUUACCUACCACGACGAUGUGCUCGGAGCCGUCCUUUCAAGGUGGAACGCAACUGCUGCUGUUGUCAACUCCCGAUCCCGAUCGAAGCUCGCCCAAUCCCGAUCGAGGUCCACCCGCCCAAUCCAGCGACCAGAGGAGAGGAGCAGCCGGUGCUGUCGAGGCCCCGAGGGGAUUUAGCAGACGCCAACCGCGCGUGGGAUCCAGGAUCGAGGGAGCCGACGCGACGCGCGCGAGGGAACCGGCGGUCCAGGGGAACCAGCCAAGGCAAGGCGCCCCGGCCGGUCGAUGCGCUGCGGUUCGUCACCUGGCUACGGGGCAUGCUUCACCAUGCCGCCUUCUGGGAGAGAGAGGCUGCUGCCGGGCGCCGGCGCUGGCGUGCAGGACGGAGUCGCCGCUCCAAGCGCCAGUUGUUGUUCGCGUCGUCGGGAGCGCGUUCGCAGCGGGCCGUGCCAGCCGUCUCUCACCAAUGCUGUGCCUGAGGGCUUUGCUGGUUGGGUCGCCAGUGGAGGACGAGGCCAUGCUUGCUCCGCUCUUUCAGAUCUAGGAGUGUAACAGAGUGCUGCGGUGGAUCUAAAGUCCGUGAACACCCCAACCCGUGAUCUGUUUAUACGAUGGAUCUAAAGUCCUCCGACAUGCUGCUGCCCGGUCCAGGAAGGUAUGUGAACUUUGAGCAGACAAUGUUGGUUCGUUCUCGGUGGAGGUACAGUGGGUCACUAGAUAGUGGAUACUGGAUACAAUAGCAGCAGGUGGAUGUGUACGUAAUUGUACUUAUCCUGUGCUUUCUUGUGAUUGUAAACCUAAUCACAUUCUAGAUUGAUUGAUUCAUAUUGCCUUUCAUAAUUAGAAUAACGGGUGUUGUUUAUGAUGGUAUGCAUUAUCUUCCCUCCAGUUCUAGCUGCUCAACUUGCAUAUUUUACAACAAGCCCAAAAGACACACACUAUUUUAUGGAUAUUUACAUUAGCUUUUCAUCCUUUAGUGGUGAAAACAGUUUCCCAAAUUUUCUUUCCUUGUUCAUUCUUAUAUUAAUUUUUUUGUAAUGAUUUUCAUGACAAUCCACACACACACACACACAGAGAUGGAAUAUUUAUUGAUAUGAUUUUUUGGUGGAAACAAACCGGAGGAAGUGAUGCACAACUCAGAAAAAGGGCCACCUUAAGUGCUCAACUGCCAUGUCUAGCGGGAUAUGGAGAGGGACACGAAGAUUAUAUGCGUACCGAUGGUUGCGGGUUGAUGAAUACGGACCUGCUGAUGCAGUGAUCACUUCUGACAUUACCAGUUCCUGCACUCCUGGACUCCUCCUUUACCAACGACCCACAUGCAAAAUAACGUAAGCUGUCAGGCUCCAACUUGAUAAUCUAGAUGACAUGGUCACUAUACUGAGAACUGUUUUCCUUCAAAUGUAGAAAAAAAUGUUGCUCAAUCUGCUAUUUACAGAAAAAUGAGUAGCUGGCACUUGCUUCUAUUAAAUAGACAGUCAAUUUGUAGUAUGCAUCAGUACAACAAAAAGCCUUUUAGGUUGCCUGCCAGUUUAAAUUAUUUCUAUAAUGGUAAAUAGACAGUCAAUUUGUAGUAUGCAUCAGUACCACAAAAAGCCUUUUAGGUUGCCUGUCAGUUUGUAUUAUCUCUAUAAUGGUGAUUGGAUAUUGUGGGCUCUGCCUGUCAUUUUAGCAUGCUACAGAUUUCUACCUAAGGUGAUUAUCAGCUUGAAUUUGAGCAGAAGGCUAAAGCUGUUCUUGGAACUUACAACAGGGUUGUAUUUCCAAAUGAAAAAAGAUGACAAAGCUCUAUUUUUUUAGAAUGUUACCUUUUACUAUGCCUGGUCAGAAACAAGCGAAUCCUCUCGAGUUUGUCGAGUUGUUUGCAGUGAUCACCUGCCAUUUUUUAUUUGUAUAAUGUUUGAAGUUUGCAUGAAUGGAUUCAAUGAAAUUAUAGGUGCCAUACUACUUUGGUCGUGAUUAUGCUUCCAGAUAUUUAUAGAAAUCACUAUCAUUCUUUUCAAAAUAGGACGGGCGCGACAACGCGCGCCAUCCAUGAUCUAGUGACUACUAAUAGCAAGACUUCUUCCAUGUCUUCAAGAACAAAAGUAACUACUCACAAAGUAUAAAUAUGUUCAUAACCAGAGGGGUAUUAAUAUGCAUAUAUGAUCUGAACAUAUGCUCUUCUACCAAUUAA
Triticum aestivum (bread wheat) is the source of this 2593-nucleotide long non-coding RNA. RefSeq lists it as uncharacterized. The transcript is spliced from 3 exons. Lineage: Eukaryota; Viridiplantae; Streptophyta; Magnoliopsida; Poales; Poaceae. The record is from RefSeq and is a predicted model, not a curated record.